Grammomys surdaster is the source of this 571-nucleotide long non-coding RNA. RefSeq lists it as uncharacterized. NCBI's taxonomy places the organism in Eukaryota, Metazoa, Chordata, Mammalia, Rodentia, Muridae. The record is from RefSeq and is a predicted model, not a curated record. The transcript is spliced from 2 exons.
CUUCACUCUGACUGGCAAGUCCAUCUGCCCUGAUGUUGGGGUGUUUUCUCAUCGACUUCUUCAGGAUCCCAACAAAGACCCAAGACCAGCUACUUUCUAAGGCUUUCCCGGAAUUCCAGAUUGGGAUUGUUGAAACAUCCAGUCUCAUGCACCUUGUUGGACUACAUGGACUGCUGCCUGCUCAAUAGACCAAAUCGAAUGGCAUCACCCAGACAAAAGGCUCGUCAUACAAAGAGAAAGGAUUAUUUGACCUUCAGAGAAAUCAGAAGCAACCACCAAACCUCCUGAGCAGGCCAGGUUCUGGGCAUGAAGAUGGAAUGGCUUCUGCUUCUGUCCUUACAGAAGAGUUUAUCCUGAGGCAGUCUGAUGUUAAGCUAUCAGUCACCUUUCUCAUUUCCUGACUCCAGUCCCGGGAAAAUGAUCAGAAUAAUCAGCCUGUUCUUGUAAUCGACAUGUGGCCCUGGCUGUCCUGGAAUAUGCUAUGUAGACUUGGCUGACCUUGAACUCACAGACUACCACUCUGCAGCCUGUGUGGUUGGAUUAAAGUUGUACACCACUGUUCCUGUCCUGA